UCCCGGUUAACCCGGGCAGUCUCAUUAGAGUUCCCACCAUUACGUGCUGGCAACUAAUGAUAAGGGUUGCGCUCGUUGCUGGACUUAACCAAACACCUCACGGCACGAGCUGACGACAGCCAUGCAGCACCUGUGCAGCGACCCUUUCGGGAGAUCCCAUUUCUGGGACUGUCCACUGCAUGUCAAGCCUGGGUAAGGUUCUUCGCGUUGCAUCGAAUUAAACCACAUGCUCCACUGCUUGUGCGGGUCCCCGUCAAUUCUUUUGAGUUUCACCCUUGCGAGCGUACUCCCCAGGCGGCAUACUUAACGCGUUAGCUUCGGCACUGCUAGGGUUAAAUCCAGCAACACCAAGUAUGCAUCGUUUACGGCAAGGACUAC
Molecule: unclassified non-coding RNA, 378 nt
Filed under: uncultured Chlamydiales bacterium
Lineage: Bacteria; Pseudomonadati; Chlamydiota; Chlamydiia; Chlamydiales
Description: contains 16S-23S intergenic spacer region
Source: RNAcentral